AGUGAUAUGGCCGACUUUAGGCGGGGGACUGUAAAUCCCCCUAUAAUAGCUAAACUAUUUAUCAUUA
RNAcentral lists this transfer RNA (67 nucleotides) under Tropostreptus hamatus. RNAcentral's name for it is "tRNA-Tyr". Lineage: Eukaryota; Metazoa; Arthropoda; Diplopoda; Spirostreptida; Spirostreptidae. The record is from RNAcentral.